AUUGAACGCUGGCGGCAUGCUUUACACAUGCAAGUCGAACGGUAACAGGCCUUCGGGUGCUGACGAGUGGCGAACGGGUGAGUAAUGCAUCGGAACGUACCCAGAGGUGGGGGAUAACGCAGCGAAAGCUGUGCUAAUACCGCAUGUGAUCUGAGGAUGAAAGCGGGGGACCGAGCAGCAAUGUUUGGCCUCGCGCCUUUGGAGCGGCCGAUGUCGGAUUAGCUAGUUGGUGGGGUAAAGGCCUACCAAGGCGACGAUCCGUAGCUGGUCUGAGAGGACGACCAGCCACACUGGGACUGAGACACGGCCCAGACUCCUACGGGAGGGAGCAGUGGGGAAUUUUGGACAAUGGGCGCAAGCCUGAUCCAGCAAUGCCGCGUGCGGGAAGAAGGCCUUCGGGUUGUAAACCGCUUUUGGCAGGAAACGAAACGGUGUCCGCUAAUACCGGGCGCUAAUGACGGUACCUGCAGAAUAAGCACCGGCUAACUACGUG
This 493-nucleotide ribosomal RNA is filed under the name uncultured bacterium. Its description in RNAcentral is "partial 16S ribosomal RNA". It matches the Rfam family "Bacterial small subunit ribosomal RNA", at positions 29 to 507 of the family's 1533-position model. The record is from RNAcentral.